RNAcentral lists this ribosomal RNA (254 nucleotides) under uncultured bacterium. Its description in RNAcentral is "partial 16S ribosomal RNA". It matches the Rfam family "Bacterial small subunit ribosomal RNA", at positions 524 to 776 of the family's 1533-position model. The record is from RNAcentral.
UACGUAGGGCGCAAGCGUUAUCCGGAAUUAUUGGGCGUAAAGAGCUCGUAGGCGGUGUGUCACGUCGGCCGUGAAAACCUGGGGCUUAACUCUGGGCGUGCGGUCGAUACGGGCAUCACUAGAGUUCGGCAGGGGAGACUGGAAUUCCUGGUGUAGCGGUGAAAUGCGCAGAUAUCAGGAGGAACACCGGUGGCGAAGGCGGGUCUCUGGGCCGAUACUGACGCUGAGGAGCGGAAGCAUGGGUAGCGAACAGG